Molecule: ribosomal RNA, 497 nt
Filed under: uncultured bacterium
Lineage: Bacteria
Description: partial 16S ribosomal RNA
Rfam family: Bacterial small subunit ribosomal RNA
Source: RNAcentral
GAUGAACGCUGGCGGCGUGCCUAAUACAUGCAAGUCGAGCGAACAGACGAGGAGCUUGCUCCUCUGACGUUAGCGGCGGACGGGUGAGUAACACGUGGAUAACCUACCUAUAAGACUGGGAUAACUUCGGGAAACCGGAGCUAAUACCGGAUAACAUGUUGAACCGCAUGGUUCAACAGUGAAAGACGGUCUUGCUGUCACUAAUAGAUGGAUCCGCGCCGCUUUAGCUAGUUGGUAAGGUAACGGCUUACCAAGGCAACGAUGCGUAGCCGACCUGAGAGGGUGAUCGGCCACACUGGAACUGAGACACGGUCCAGACUCCUACGGGAGGCAGCAGUAGGGAAUCUUCCGCAAUGGGCGAAAGCCUGACCGAGCAACGCCGCGUGAGUGAAGAAGGUCUUCGGAUCGUAAAACUCUGUUAUUAGGGAAGAACAAAUGUGUAAGUAACUAUGCACGUCUUGACGGUACCUAAUCAAAAAGCCACGGCUAACUACGUG